This 497-nucleotide ribosomal RNA is filed under the name uncultured bacterium. Its description in RNAcentral is "partial 16S ribosomal RNA". It matches the Rfam family "Bacterial small subunit ribosomal RNA", at positions 28 to 507 of the family's 1533-position model. The record is from RNAcentral.
GAUGAACGCUGGCGGCGUGCCUAAUACAUGCAAGUCGAGCGAACAGACGAGGAGCUUGCUCCUCUGACGUUAGCGGCGGACGGGUGAGUAACACGUGGAUAACCUACCUAUAAGACUGGGAUAACUUCGGGAAACCGGUGCUAAUACCGGAUAACAUGUUGAACCGCAUGGUUCAACAGUGAAAGACGGUCUUGCUGUCACUUAUAGAUGGAUCCGCGCCGCAUUAGCUAGUUGGUAAGGUAACGGCUUACCAAGGCAACGAUGCGUAGCCGACCUGAGAGGGUGAUCGGCCACACUGGAACUGAGACACGGUCCAGACUCCUACGGGAGGCAGCAGUAGGGAAUCUUCCGCAAUGGGCGAAAGCCUGACGGAGCAACGCCGCGUGAGUGAUGAAGGUCUUCGGAUCGUAAAACUCUGUUAUUAGGGAAGAACAAAUGUGUAAGUAACUAUGCACGUCUUGACGGUACCUAAUCAGAAAGCCACGGCUAACUACGUG